RNAcentral lists this ribosomal RNA (585 nucleotides) under Streptomyces sp. E65. RNAcentral's name for it is "bacterial SSU rRNA". It matches the Rfam family "Bacterial small subunit ribosomal RNA", at positions 62 to 663 of the family's 1533-position model. The record is from RNAcentral. Lineage: Bacteria; Bacillati; Actinomycetota; Actinomycetes; Kitasatosporales; Streptomycetaceae.
UCGAACGAUGAAGCCGCUUCGGUGGUGGAUUAGUGGCGAACGGGUGAGUAACACGUGGGCAAUCUGCCCUUCACUCUGGGACAAGCCCUGGAAACGGGGUCUAAUACCGGAUAAUACUCUGUUCCGCAUGGAACGGGGUUGAAAGCUCCGGCGGUGAAGGAUGAGCCCGCGGCCUAUCAGCUUGUUGGUGGGGUAAUGGCCUACCAAGGCGACGACGGGUAGCCGGCCUGAGAGGGCGACCGGCCACACUGGGACUGAGACACGGCCCAGACUCCUACGGGAGGCAGCAGUGGGGAAUAUUGCACAAUGGGCGAAAGCCUGAUGCAGCGACGCCGCGUGAGGGAUGACGGCCUUCGGGUUGUAAACCUCUUUCAGCAGGGAAGAAGCGCAAGUGACGGUACCUGCAGAAGAAGCGCCGGCUAACUACGUGCCAGCAGCCGCGGUAAUACGUAGGGCGCAAGCGUUGUCCGGAAUUAUUGGGCGUAAAGAGCUCGUAGGCGGCUUGUCACGUCGGAUGUGAAAGCCCGGGCUUAACCCCGGGUCUGCAUUCGAUACGGGCUAGCUAGAGUGUGGUAGGGGAGAUCG